CUUGUCAGUGAUGAAAGAAUUGUCGCCCCAGUCUGAAAUUUCAUGACUGAUUGACUUUUCUGAGACAAU
RNAcentral lists this small nucleolar RNA (69 nucleotides) under Paramuricea clavata. Lineage: Eukaryota; Metazoa; Cnidaria; Anthozoa; Malacalcyonacea; Plexauridae. The record is from RNAcentral.